GCCGGAAACAAAAGCAAAAGCUUCACAUUCUUCUAAGGAGUUUUUGCUUGAAAUCCGCAUCACUACCCCGCGACUGCACCGGCCAGUGUUGGUUAAUUUUUAACGCGUGUCGCCCCCUUGCGGCACCCGAGGAAAUAAGACGAACUCCCCUCGCGUCGCUCCCACCACACCAGUCUGCAGCGCUAACUGGGACGGAGCGGCUAGCCCCAUUUGUAGGAGGCGAGGUAAGGAGCUGCAGGGCCGGAGAGAUCGCUUACCGCCCCUCCGGUCUGAGAGGAACUGUGCAUCGGGGCUUUGUUUAAAGAGCAAAGGAACUGUGGGCGCCGGAGCAUCCAGUCGCUUGUGCAGAGCGGUGCGCCUAUGGGCCGGAGGUGGCCCCGUCUGGCCCCCAGGAGCGCUGAAUGCUGAGGGACGCCAGGCCAGAGGAGUAAGGUGUCUGGGGCCUCGCCGCUGGGAUGGUUUGGGGAUGACCUGUCGAGAGAGACCCCCCAACCAAGACACGGCCACCCGAGCUCCGAUUCCCGCCUCCGACGCCCCGUCCAGUCAAGCAGCACGCCUGCAAGUUUGCCGAGCCUGCCAGAAAACCAAGAACUUAAAGUUGG
Brienomyrus brachyistius is the source of this 602-nucleotide long non-coding RNA. RefSeq lists it as uncharacterized. The record is from RefSeq and is a predicted model, not a curated record. NCBI's taxonomy places the organism in Eukaryota, Metazoa, Chordata, Actinopteri, Osteoglossiformes, Mormyridae. The transcript is spliced from 3 exons.